GAUGAACGCUGGCGGCGUGCCUAAUACAUGCAAGUCGAGCGAACAGACGAGGAGCUUGCUCCUCUGACGUUAGCGGCGGACGGGUGAGUAACACGUGGAUAACCUACCUAUAAGACUGGGAUAACUUCGGGAAACCGGAGCUAAUACCGGAUAAUAUAUUGAACCGCAAGGUUCAAUAGUGAAAGACGGUUUUGCUGUCACUUAUAGAUGGAUCCGCGCCGCAUUAGCUAGUUGGUAAGGUAACGGCUUACCAAGGCAACGAUGCGUAGCCGACCUGAGAGGGUGAUCGGCCACACUGGAACUGAGACACGGUCCAGACUCGUAAGGGAGGCAGCAGUAGGGAAUCUUGCGCAAUGGGCGAAAGCCUGGCGGAGCAACGCCGCGUGAGUGAUGAAGGUCUUCGGAUCGUAAAACUCUGUUAGUAGGGAAGAACAAAUGUGUAAGUAACUAUGCACGUCUUGACGGUACCUAAUCAGAAAGCCACGGCUAACUACGUG
RNAcentral lists this ribosomal RNA (497 nucleotides) under uncultured bacterium. Its description in RNAcentral is "partial 16S ribosomal RNA". It matches the Rfam family "Bacterial small subunit ribosomal RNA", at positions 28 to 507 of the family's 1533-position model. The record is from RNAcentral.